AUUGAACGCUGGCGGCAGGCCUAACACAUGCAAGUCGAACGGCAGCACAGAAGAGCUUGCUCUUUGGGUGGCGAGUGGCGGACGGGUGAGUAAUGUCUGGGAAACUGCCCGAUGGAGGGGGAUAACUACUGGAAACGGUAGCUAAUACCGCAUAACGUCGCGAGACCAAAGGGGGGGACCUUCGGGCCUCACACCAUCGGAUGGGCCCAGAUGGGAUUAGCUAGUAGGUGGGGUAAUGGCUCACCUAGGCGACGAUCCCUAGCUGGUCUGAGAGGAUGACCAGCCACACUGGAACUGAGACACGGUCCAGACUCCUACGGGAGGCAGCAGUGGGGAAUAUUGCACAAUGGGCGCAAGCCUGAUGCAGCCAUGCCGCGUGUAUGAAGAAGGCCUUCGGGUUGUAAAGUACUUUCAGCGGGGAGGAAGGCGGUGAGGUUAAUAACCUCGCCGAUUGACGUUACCCGCAGAAGAAGCACCGGCUAACUCCGUGCCAGCAGCCGCCGUAA
RNAcentral lists this ribosomal RNA (506 nucleotides) under uncultured bacterium. RNAcentral's name for it is "partial 16S ribosomal RNA". It matches the Rfam family "Bacterial small subunit ribosomal RNA", at positions 29 to 523 of the family's 1533-position model. The record is from RNAcentral.